This 799-nucleotide ribosomal RNA is filed under the name uncultured bacterium. RNAcentral's name for it is "bacterial SSU rRNA". It matches the Rfam family "Bacterial small subunit ribosomal RNA", at positions 46 to 840 of the family's 1533-position model. The record is from RNAcentral.
GCUUAACACAUGCAAGUCGAGGGGCAGCGAGGGAGUGGCAACACUUCUGUCGGCGACCGGCGCACGGGUGAGUAACGCGUAUGCAACCUGCCCUUCACAGGGGGAUAACCGGGAGAAAUUCCGACUAAUACCGCAUACGUCCUCCGGGGGCAUCCCCGGAGGAUGAAAGAAUUAUCGGUGAAGGAUGGGCAUGCGUGAUAUUAGGUAGUUGGCGGGGCAACGGCCCACCAAGCCCACGAUAUCUAGGGGUUCUGAGAGGAAGGUCCCCCACAUUGGUACUGAGACACGGACCAAACUCCUACGGGAGGCAGCAGUGAGGAAUAUUGGUCAAUGGACGAGAGUCUGAACCAGCCAAGUCGCGUGAAGGAAGACGGAUCUAUGGUUUGUAAACUUCUUUAGUGCGGGAACAAAGCGGCGUCGAGACGCUUGAUGAGUGUACCGCAAGAAUAAGCAUCGGCUAACUCCGUGCCAGCAGCCGCGGUAAUACGGAGGAUGCGAGCGUUAUCCGGAUUUAUUGGGUUUAAAGGGAGCGCAGGCUGCGAGGCAAGUCAGCGGUCAAAUGUCGGGGCUCAACCCCGGCCUGCCGUUGAAACUGUCCUGCUAGAGUUCGAGUGAGGUAUGCGGAAUGCGUUGUGUAGCGGUGAAAUGCAUAGAUAUGACGCAGAACUCCGAUUGCGAAGGCAGCAUACCAACUCGCGACUGACGCUGAGGCUCGAAAGCGUGGGUAUCGAACAGGAUUAGAUACCCAGGUAGUCCACGCAGUAAACGAUGAAUACUAACUGUUCGGAGGGCGACCUCU